GCAGAAGGAUCAUUAGUGAAGAUUUGGGCAGGCCAUACGGACGCCAAAAAGUGUCCCUGGCCGCCUACACCCACUAUACAUCCACAAACCCGUGUGCACUGUCUUGGAGAAAGGCUUCAGAGAAGUUUUUUGUGGCCCCUCUUGGGGUCUUUCUUCGCUACAAACUCGAAUGGUUAGUAUGAACGUGGAACUUGGUUGGACCGUCACUGGCCAACAAACUAUACACAACUUUCGACAACGGAUCUCUUGGUUCUCCCA
Molecule: unclassified non-coding RNA, 258 nt
Filed under: uncultured fungus
Lineage: Eukaryota; Fungi
Description: partial contains 18S rRNA, ITS1, 5.8S rRNA
Source: RNAcentral